Molecule: long non-coding RNA, 1606 nt
Organism: Acanthochromis polyacanthus (spiny chromis)
Lineage: Eukaryota; Metazoa; Chordata; Actinopteri; Pomacentridae
Exons: 2
Source: RefSeq, a predicted model, not a curated record
AUAACAUCGCUGGCAGGAUGUUGUACAUUCUGGGAAGGAGAGGACGGAGAUAUUUUGGGUUUUCAGGUGAUAAAGAACAGAACAGGGAAGUUUUGUGUGUCUUUACUGCAUCAGAGUGUCUUGUAAAGUGUGAUGUGUAAACUUUGAUUUCAUGACGUCUGCUUCGUCGCUUUGCCUCGGAUGAAAGAGAAUCAUUGUUCCUCCCGCCUGCUCACCUGAUCUGCUAUCUGGUCCACAAAGGAAGCGGCUGUGGGGGGCAACGACAGGAAACCUCGUCAGAGGAAGGUUAGGGCAGCGAGCAUCAGAUCAGGUGGAGGCCAUUGUUCUGCCAGAAGAGACGCCUCAGUGCUGGAAGGACCUGCUGCUGAGGAACAUCAUGAUGCUGCCUCCACCGUGCUUCACGUCAUGAUGCUGCCUCCACCGUGCUUCACGUCAUGAUGCUGCCUCCACCGUGCUUCACGUCAUGAUGCUGCCUCCACCGUGAUUCACGUCGUGAUGCUGCCUCCACCGUGCUUCACGUCAUGAUGCUGCCUCCGCCGUGAUUCACGUCGUGAUGCUGCCUCCACCGUGCUUCACGUCAUGAUGCUGCCUCCGCCGUGCUUCACGUCGUGAUGCUGCCUCCACCGUGCUUCACGUCAUGAUGCUGCCUCCGCCGUGCUUCACGUCAUGAUGCUGCCUCCACCGUGCUUCACGUCAUGAUGCUGCCUCCGCCGUGCUUCACGUCAUGAUGCUGCCUCCACCGUGCUUCACGUCAUGAUGCUGCCUCCACCGUGCUUCACGUCAUGAUGCUGCCUCCACCGUGCUUCACAUCGUGAUGCUGCCUCCACCGUGCUUCACGUCAUGAUGCUGCCUCCACCGUGCUUCACGUCAUGAUGCUGCCUCCACCAUGCUUCACGUCAUGAUGCUGCCUCCACCGUGCUUCACAGUGGGGAUGGUGUGUUUGUGAUGAUGUUCAGUGUUUGGUGUCCAUCAAACAUAUCAUCUAGUCUGAUGGACAUAAAGCUCCAUCCUGGUCUCCUCAGAACAAAGAACCUUCUUCCAGGUGUCUUCAGAGUCUCAGCAUGAAGCAUUUAAUUGUUGUAUCUGAUUAAAAAGCAGCUAAUUUUCGCUACUUUGAAUGCUGUUAUACAUUUUAAUGCGUAAAAUUGUAUGUUUAGAUUGAUAUUGAUUUGAUUUUUACAUCUUCACAAAGUAACUGGGAACGAAAACUGGGAACACUAUAAUGAUAGUAUUGAAAACUCUACUUAGUAUGAGUAAAUGCUCAGCUAGCUGUAGCAUAUUAGUGGUAAAUAAGAUUCAGAUUUAUUGCUGUGGGUUUCUCUUUGAAGGUCAAACAUUAACAGACAUGUUCUUAUUCACCUCUCAAAUGUUUUUACAGUGAAAAUCCUUCCAUUAUGUGCUGACAUUCUCAUCACAUCUGACUUUAAGUUGUGCAACAGGACAAACUGUGCAUACACCCACCCAAACACUCAGACUGGAAGUCUUUUUUUGUUCUUUUAUCCGCUGAUCCUUCUUCAGACCAUUAACAUGUCAGAGAUUCUUGACGUGCAUUAAGUGGGAUCAUGUGAUAAUGUGACUUAAGCAGCAAUAAAAGUCUGUCAUCAUC